RNAcentral lists this ribosomal RNA (460 nucleotides) under uncultured bacterium. Its description in RNAcentral is "partial 16S ribosomal RNA". It matches the Rfam family "Bacterial small subunit ribosomal RNA", at positions 338 to 795 of the family's 1533-position model. The record is from RNAcentral.
CCUACGGGUGGCAGCAGUGAGGAAUAUUGGUCAAUGGACGAGAGUCUGAACCAGCCAAGUCGCGUGAAGGAUGACGGCCCUAUGGGUUGUAAACUUCUUUUAUAUGGGAAUAAAAUUUUCCACGUGUGGAUAUUUGUAUGUACCCUAUGAAUAAGCAUCGGCUAACUCCGUGCCAGCAGCCGCGGUAAUACGGAGGAUCCGAGCGUUAUCCGGAUUUAUUGGGUUUAAAGGGUGCGUAGGUGGAUUGUUAAGUCAGUUGUGAAAGUUUGCGGCUCAACCGUAAAAUUGCAGUUGAAACUGGCAGUCUUGAGUGUGGUUGAGGUAGGCGGAAUGCGUGGUGUAGCGGUGAAAUGCUUAGAUAUCACGAAGAACUCCGAUUGCGAAGGCAGCUUACUAAUCUACAACUGACACUGAGGCACGAAAGUGUGGGGAUCAAACAGGAUUAGAUACCCGGGUAGUC